This 591-nucleotide ribosomal RNA is filed under the name uncultured bacterium. RNAcentral describes it as "bacterial SSU rRNA". The stretch from base 1 to 520 matches the Rfam family "Bacterial small subunit ribosomal RNA", at positions 338 to 873 of the family's 1533-position model. The record is from RNAcentral.
CCUACGGGAGGCAGCAGUGGGGAAUAUUGCACAAUGGGCGCAAGCCUGAUGCAGCGACGCCGCGUGCGGGAUGAAGGCCUUAGGGUUGUAAACCGCUUUCAGCAGGGACGAAAUUGACGGUACCUGCAGAAGAAGCCCCGGCCAACUACGUGCCAGCAGCCGCGGUAAUACGUAGGGGGCGAGCGUUGUCCGGAUUUAUUGGGCGUAAAGAGCUCGUAGGCGGUCCGGUAAGUCGGAUGUGAAAUCUCCACGCUUAACGUGGAGGGGUCAUUCGAAACUGCCAUGGCUAGAGUUUGGUAGAGGAGUGCGGAACUCCCGGUGUAGCGGUGAAAUGCGCAGAUAUCGGGAAGAACACCCGCAGCGAAGGCGGCACUCUGGGCCAAUACUGACGCUGAGGAGCGAAAGCGUGGGGAGCAAACAGGAUUAGAUACCCUGGUAGUCCACGCCGUAAACGUUGGGCACUAGGUGUGGGGAUCGUAUCGACGGUCUCCGUGCCGUAGCUAACGCAUUAGUGCCCGCCUGGGGNGUACGCGCGAGACGAACACANAGAGUGUAGNGUUGAGAGUUGCGAGGCGACGACGAGGGAGGAGG